RNAcentral lists this ribosomal RNA (497 nucleotides) under uncultured bacterium. RNAcentral's name for it is "partial 16S ribosomal RNA". It matches the Rfam family "Bacterial small subunit ribosomal RNA", at positions 28 to 507 of the family's 1533-position model. The record is from RNAcentral.
GAUGAACGCUGGCGGCGUGCCUAAUACAUGCAAGUCGAGCGAACAGACGAGGAGCUUGCUCCUCUGUCGUUAGCGGCGGACGGGUGAGUAACACGUGGAUAACCUACCUAUAAGACUGGGAUAACUUCGGGAAACCGGAGCUAAUACCGUAUAACAUGUUGAACCGCAUGGUUCAACAGUGAAAGACGGUCUUGCUGUCACUUAUAGAUGGAUCCGCGCCGCAUUAGCUAGUUGGUAAGGUAACGGCUUACCAAGGCAACGAUGCGUAGCCGACCUGAGAGGGUGAUCGGCCACACUGGAACUGAGACACGGUCCAGACUCCUACGGGAGGCAGCAGUAGGGAAUCUUCCGCAAUGGGCGAAAGCCUGACGGAGCAACGCCGCGUGAGUGAAGAAGGUCUUCGGAUCGUAAAACUCUGUUAUUAGGGAAGAACAAAUGUGUAAGUAACUAUGCACGUCUUGACGGUACCUAAUCAGAAAGCCACGGCUAACUACGUG